CGCGUAGGCGGUCCGACAAGUCAGGGGUGAAAUCCUGCAGCUUAACUGCAGAAGUGCCUUUGAUACUGUCGGUCUGGAGGGAGAUAGGGGUGUGCGGAACUUCCAGUGGAGCGGUGAAAUGCGUUGAUAUUGGAAGGAACGCCGGAGGCGAAAGCGGCGCACUGGAUCUCUUCUGACGCUGAGGCGCGAAAGCUAGGGAGCAAACG
This 206-nucleotide ribosomal RNA is filed under the name uncultured bacterium. RNAcentral describes it as "partial 16S ribosomal RNA". It matches the Rfam family "Bacterial small subunit ribosomal RNA", at positions 568 to 774 of the family's 1533-position model. The record is from RNAcentral.